GCACUUUUGUGGUGUGCAAAAA
This 22-nucleotide microRNA is filed under the name Caenorhabditis elegans. RNAcentral describes it as "cel-miR-239b-3p". Its record names the gene cel-miR-239b-3p. Lineage: Eukaryota; Metazoa; Nematoda; Chromadorea; Rhabditida; Rhabditidae. The record is from miRBase by way of RNAcentral.